UACGUAGGGGGCAAGCGUUGUCCGGAAUCAUUGGGCGUAAAGAGCGUGUAGGCGGUUCGGUAAGUCCGCCGUCAAAUCCCAGGGCUCAACCCUGGACAGGCGGUGGAAACUGCCAAGCUGGAGUACGGUAGGGGCAGAGGGAAUUUCCGGUGGAGCGGUAAAAUGCGUAGAGAUCGGAAAGAACACCAACGGCGAAAGCACUCUGCUGGGCCGACACUGACACUGAGAGACGAAAGCUAGGGGAGCGAAUGGG
This 253-nucleotide ribosomal RNA is filed under the name uncultured bacterium. RNAcentral's name for it is "partial 16S ribosomal RNA". It matches the Rfam family "Bacterial small subunit ribosomal RNA", at positions 524 to 776 of the family's 1533-position model. The record is from RNAcentral.